This 253-nucleotide ribosomal RNA is filed under the name uncultured bacterium. RNAcentral's name for it is "partial 16S ribosomal RNA". It matches the Rfam family "Bacterial small subunit ribosomal RNA", at positions 524 to 776 of the family's 1533-position model. The record is from RNAcentral.
UACGAAGGGGGCUAGCGUUGCUCGGAAUCACUGGGCGUAAAGCGCACGUAGGCGGCUUCUUAAGUCAGGGGUGAAAUCCUGGAGCUCAACUCCAGAACUGCCUUUGAUACUGAGUAGCUUGAGUCCGGGAGAGGUGAGUGGAACUGCGAGUGUAGAGGUGAAAUUCGUAGAUAUUCGCAAGAACACCAGUGGCGAAGGCGGCAGCCUGGACCGAUACUGACGCUGAGGUGCGAAAGCGUGGGGAGCAAACAGG